This 1222-nucleotide ribosomal RNA is filed under the name Oxydothis calamicola. RNAcentral's name for it is "eukaryotic LSU rRNA". It matches the Rfam family "Eukaryotic large subunit ribosomal RNA", at positions 1 to 1429 of the family's 3401-position model. Lineage: Eukaryota; Fungi; Ascomycota; Sordariomycetes; Amphisphaeriales; Oxydothidaceae. The record is from RNAcentral.
CGACAUAUUGACCCGAAUCGAUGGCCUAGUACGCAGUACGUACGUCAUGAUUCCGCCUUGGUCCGAGUGAAUUGUAGAGGAUUUCGCCGGUCUCGAUUUCCUGACCGACGCUUAGACGUGAGAGGCCCGUACGUUGACGUAGCUCGUCAAUUCUCGACGAGUCGAGUAGUUGGGAUGCUGCUCAAAUGGGAGUAAAUCUCUAAAGCUAAAUACGCCAGAGACCGAUAGCGCACAGUAGAGUGAUCGAAAGAUGAAAAGCACUUUGAAAAGAGGGUUAAAUAGCACGUGAAAUUGUUGAAAGGGAAGCGUUGUGACCAGACUUUUUCCCUUGCGAAUCAUCCGGUGUUUUCACCGGUGCACUUCGCUUGGUUUAGGCCAGCAUCGGUUUCCGUAGGGGGAUAAAAGCUUCGGGAAUGUGGCUCCCUCGGGAGUGUUAUAGCCCGUUGCAUAAUACCCUUUAUGGGGACCGAGGUACGCGCUCUGCAAGGAUGCUGGCGUAAUGGUCAUCAACGACCCGUCUUGAAACACGGACCAAGGAGUCGAACAUUUGUGCGAGUGUUUGGGUGUUAAACCCUCACGCGUAAUGAAAGUGAACGGAGGUGAGAGCCCUAGGGUGCAUCAUCGACCGAUCCUGAUGUCUUCGGAUGGAUUUGAGUAAGAGCAUAACUGUUCGGACCCGAAAGAUGGUGAACUAUGCGUGGAUAGGGUGAAGCCAGAGGAAACUCUGGUGGAGGCUCGCAGCGGUUCUGACGUGCAAAUCGAUCGUCAAAUCUGCGCAUGGGGGCGAAAGACUAAUCGAACCAUUGAACACCAGCGGUAAAUUCGAUUUACUAGGUGGUUAAGAGGUGGCCCGGCAGGGCAGAACACCUAGGCUGAGUGGAGUUACCCGGGAGCUACCCGGUAACCACCUAGGAGCUACCUAGUAGCUACCUAGGAGCGGUUACCCGGGAGCUACCUAGGAACGAAGCCCGGCCGACACCGCUAAAUUGCGGGGACAUCCCUCAGAAGGCUCCAGGCUACCGCGGCGCGCUGAAAAGCCCGUCCGCACCAAGGUUAGCGCCCUUGGGUACGGUAAUAACGCCUGUGAGCUGGGACGACCUGCAGCCAACCCCGCCACUCAGGGGAGAGUUCACUGACUAUACAGCGGUGGGUUAACUGUGGUUAGCCUAAGACAUAGUCGAUCGGCGGCCCUGAAAAGGAGCCCUGCAAAUGAGCAUGCGUG